CCUUUUGGAGAAAGCUUAAUCAUUUUCGUUUGGAUGAAUGUGACGAUUCUCGAAAUAGUUUAUAUUUAUCUCGACAUUUAAUGUUGGCACUUAGCAGUCUACAUCCUUGUAUUGCAUGGGCAAUUAGUUGCUUUCUUUCGAUUCUCUUGAGUGAUUUUGACUAUAUGCUAAUAAGAUCAUGAGUGGGCGGUAUAGCUAACAUUUCUCAUUUGGCAAGCAUAAAACAAGGCUACAUAUUGGGCAAUUAGUGAAGGAC
RNAcentral lists this long non-coding RNA (256 nucleotides) under Durio zibethinus. RNAcentral's name for it is "long non-coding RNA (DZIB_LNC000192)". The record is from RNAcentral. Lineage: Eukaryota; Viridiplantae; Streptophyta; Magnoliopsida; Malvales; Malvaceae.